UCAGUUCACUGAUAUCGAACCACACAUUGGGGUUACAUAGAUUUAAAGAAGAAGCUCCCCAAGACUGAAGGCCUGAUGUGGACCAGCAGGACCCAGAGCCUCUUAUCAUAGAGUGGAAGAAAAGACCCUUGGACCAGUCUGGUGGGAGACCAACUCAAUAUGGAGGAGACUGAUAUCAGGUUUUUGGUCACUACAGUUUCUUUAAAGAGUGAGGAGGAUA
Molecule: long non-coding RNA, 220 nt
Organism: Nematolebias whitei (Rio pearlfish)
Lineage: Eukaryota; Metazoa; Chordata; Actinopteri; Cyprinodontiformes; Rivulidae
Exons: 2
Source: RefSeq, a predicted model, not a curated record